AGCCUGCUAGCUCAGUCGGCUAGAGCGUGGUGCUAAUAACGCGAAGGUCGUAGGUUCGAUCCCUGCGCAGGCCA
RNAcentral lists this transfer RNA (74 nucleotides) under Dermacentor andersoni. Its description in RNAcentral is "transfer RNA isoleucine (anticodon AAU)". It matches the Rfam family "tRNA". From Rfam's summary of the family: Transfer RNA (tRNA) molecules are approximately 80 nucleotides in length. Their secondary structure includes four short double-helical elements and three loops (D, anti-codon, and T loops). The record is from RNAcentral. Lineage: Eukaryota; Metazoa; Arthropoda; Arachnida; Ixodida; Ixodidae.